This 253-nucleotide ribosomal RNA is filed under the name uncultured bacterium. RNAcentral describes it as "partial 16S ribosomal RNA". It matches the Rfam family "Bacterial small subunit ribosomal RNA", at positions 524 to 776 of the family's 1533-position model. The record is from RNAcentral.
UACAGAGGUCCCAAGCGUUGUUCGGAUUCACUGGGCGUAAAGGGUGCGUAGGUGGUCGGGUAAGUUUAAGGUGAAAGCUCCGGGCUCAACCCGGAAAUGGCCUUGAAUACUAUCCGGCUCGAGGGUUGGAGGGGGGACUGGAAUUCUCGGUGUAGCAGUGAAAUGCGUAGAUAUCGAGAGGAACACCAGUGGCGAAGGCGAGUCCCUGGACAACACCUGACACUGAGGCACGAAAGCUUGGGGAGCAAACGGG